GGCAGUGGUGGCUUAUCGGUUAAGGCUUUGGGUUACUGAUCGAAAGGUUGGGGAUUCAAGCCCCAGCACUGCCA
Molecule: non-coding RNA, 74 nt
Organism: Ameiurus melas (black bullhead)
Lineage: Eukaryota; Metazoa; Chordata; Actinopteri; Siluriformes; Ictaluridae
Source: the annotation of a GenBank genome assembly